This 813-nucleotide ribosomal RNA is filed under the name uncultured bacterium. RNAcentral's name for it is "bacterial SSU rRNA". It matches the Rfam family "Bacterial small subunit ribosomal RNA", at positions 8 to 796 of the family's 1533-position model. The record is from RNAcentral.
AGAGUUUGAUCCUGGCUCAGAAUGAACGCUGGCGGCGUUAACACAUGCAAGUCGUACGAGAACGCUUCAGCUUGCUGAAGCUAGUAAAGUGGCGUACGGGUGAGUAACGCGUGGGUAAUCUACCUCCGAAUUGGGGAUAACGUUGCGAAAGCGACGCUAAUACCGAAUAAUAUCAAGAGGGCUUCGGCUUUUUUGAUCAAAGGUGGCCUCUUCUUGAAAGCUACUGUUUGGAGAUGAGCCCGCGUCCCAUUAGCUUGUUGGUGGGGUAACGGCCUACCAAGGCAGCGAUGGGUAGCUGGUCUGAGAGGAUGAUCAGCCACACUGGAACUGACACACGGUCCAGACUCCUACGGGAGGCAGCAGUGAGGAAUUUUGCGCAAUGGGGGAAACCCUGACGCAGCAACGCCGCGUGAGUGAUGAAGGCUUUCGGGUCGUAAAGCUCUGUCAAGUGGGAAGAACCGCCGUGAGGUUAAUAUACUCAUGGCCUGACGGUACCACUGAAGGAAGCACCGGCUAACUCCGUGCCAGCAGCCGCGGUAAUACGGGGGGUGCAAGCGUUAUUCGGAUUUACUGGGCGUAAAGCGCGCGUAGGCGGCCGUUUAAGUCAGAUGUGAAAGCCCGGGGCUCAACCCCGGAAGUGCAUUUGAUACUAUUCGGCUUGAGUAUGGGAGAGGGAAGUGGAAUUCCUGGUGUAGAGGUGAAAUUCGUAGAUAUCAGGAGGAACACCGGUGGCGAAGGCGACUUCCUGGACCAAUACUGACGCUGAGGCGCGAAGGCGUGGGGAGCAAACAGGAUUAGAUACCCUAGUAGUCC